Molecule: non-coding RNA, 1902 nt
Organism: Pimephales promelas (fathead minnow)
Lineage: Eukaryota; Metazoa; Chordata; Actinopteri; Cypriniformes; Leuciscidae
Source: RefSeq, a predicted model, not a curated record
AAAGCAACCUAUAGUCUGUUUCCUGCAGGGAUGCCAAGUUGGGCUUUUGUGGCGCGGUUCGAUUUCCCCCCUUGAGGGUUAAAGCAGGGCCGAUGCCACUAUAUGGACACUGUCCAUGCUGACCACAGGAGCAGAAACCCAGACCACUGCAAGGGCCACCAUUGAUAAGAGACUUCAGUCUGCUGCCUGACAGCUUAAAAUAUGAUGUCACCAGAGAAGGCGUUCCAGUGUGAGUCAUCUGGGAGCGGAGAAGGUGGAUUUGGAUCCCAGGUCCAGCUGACCUCUGGAGCUUCUCACCCGGACUGUUUGUGGAGCCAGACUUCAGAUUAGAGCGGCUGCAUUUCUCUGCUUUCUUUUCUUUCUGUUGAACUUGUCCGUCACCCCUUCCUCCCUCCCACAGUCCAUGUUUUCCAGAUAUGUCACUCCAGCAGGGAUAUAAACUGCUUUAAAGUGCCCUCCAACUUCUGGAAUGGACAGUCAAAUAACAACAGAUCAAUACUGUACGAUGCCAAACAGUGUUGCAUCAGUGGUUUGUUUGUCAUCUUUCAUGUGGACACCCCCUUCUCAUGUCAUAACUCAACAACAUGGAUAUCAUCGAGUUUCCCACUGGCCACUGAUUCCCAUGGCAUUCACCAACAUCACCGAUCCAUUCCGGACAACUGGAGGAUGGCUGUGAUGCUGCAGUCUUAAGGAUAAAGGGCCGGCCGUCACAGGGGCUUUUAUAGACGAUGGAUGUCACAAGUGUCAGACUAAAUAAACGGAGGGCAGCGCUGCUUAUUUGUAUGGCGUUAACAGGCGCGCAAAACCCCAAAGAGCCACGAAAGAGCCGGGCCGCCACCCAACAAGCAGGUGCAGGUCCAGCUGCGUGUGUUUGUUUGUCUUUGGUCUGUGUGACCCAGGACACUGACAGACGGCUGAGGCUGGUGGACGCCCGUGUGCCACGGUCAUGAGAGAUAUAUGGUUCUGUGAACUGGGUUCACACAGUGUCCCUCUCUGGCAUCUGGGUUCGGACCAGCGCAUGUGUUCGUCAACGCUGUGCCCCUCCAUUGCCUAACGUGUCGGGGUUUCUGCCUAAUAUAGCCAAGGGAUAAGAGGAGGAGCAGAGACUGAUAUCAACAUGUGUGUGAUCACCUUGGAGAGGCAUCAGGUGACUGUAACGCACUGAGAGGACGGAGCUGUAAUCCUGAAAGCGCUGUAUCGGGAUUAAAGCAAGGUCUGCAGUCAGUCUGAGCAGGUGUGCCUGAGAGACAAGAGCAGGUAGAAACCUUAAAGGAAUAGUUCACAGAAACAUGAUCAUUUUAUCAAGAUUUAUUCACAAAACAAUGCAUUUUGAAGAUCAUAGUUUAAUCAUCAAUUGAAUAAUAAUACACAAAGCAUGUCUCAAAGGGAAUUAGGCACAGACACACUUUUCUUGUGCUUUGCUCAGACAGCUGAUAAACUCUCACAGUGAUUGAUGCUCUGUUCUCUGAGAUAAAUGGCAUCUGCGGGACCCAGGAGGGCUCUAAUUGAAUUGGUUUCCAGAGAAUACUAAUGGGGCGUAAUGUUGAGAUAACUGAAGCCCUAAGAAUAAGUGAUCAUUGACAGCAUGUGUUUCUUGCCAGUAAUAAACAUGUCACACAGACGGGCAGUCAGUAGCUGCAACGCAAUUACCUCACUGCACCACACACUGCGCUCAAACCACUGAGAUAGCCAGCUGCAAAAUCAUUUCACAAAUACUACUCUGAAAUAGUCCUCAAAAGUGUGCAAACAUAAAAAAGUAAGUAAAGAAAGAAAAAAGUGUAUAAAAGUUUUUUGAAGGAAGAAGUCAUCUUUUAUGUGCACCAAGGCUGCAUUUAUUUGCAGCCUUGGUGCACAUAUUUAUUUGGAAAAUUUAUUUGGAAAUCAUUAUCCUUUUUUUCAGGA